Molecule: non-coding RNA, 606 nt
Organism: Cercocebus atys (sooty mangabey)
Lineage: Eukaryota; Metazoa; Chordata; Mammalia; Primates; Cercopithecidae
Source: the annotation of a RefSeq genome assembly
CUCACAGUGACACUGAUCUGGUAACGCCCCCGUCCUGGUCUGACCCUGCCAUGGGCACCAGGCUCCUCUGCUGGAUGGUCCUGGGUUUCCUAGGGACAGAUCACACAGGUGCUGGAGUCUCGCAGUCCCCAAGGUACAAAGUCACGAAGAGGGGACAGGAUGUAGCUCUCAGGUGUGAUCCAAUUUCGGGUCAUGAUUACCUUUACUGGUACCAACAGGCCCCUGGGCAGGGCCCAGCGUUUCUGACUUACUUCCAGAAUGAUGCUCAACUAGACAAAUCAGGGCUGCCCAAUGAUCGGUUCUCUGCAGAGAGGCCUGAGGGAUCCAUCUCUACUCUGAAGAUCCAGCGCACAGAACAGGGGGACUCAGCCGUGUAUCUCUGUGCCAGCAGCUUAGCCACAGCGUGGCACGGUCACCUCCUUCCUGUUCACAAACCUCGUCCUUCUCUCUCCUUGCAGCUACUAGAGACCCUUAGUAGAGGCCUCUCUUUCUUCCUUACUUUUCAUGGGAAAGGAGUAGAUUUGGACAUCGGCUGUCCUUUGGGUAGAAAGAGACCACAGAUUCAUUCCUGAAACACAGUGACUACAAAUGUAAGUGGUGAAAACA